RNAcentral lists this transfer RNA (90 nucleotides) under Pseudoalteromonas sp. SR45-4. RNAcentral's name for it is "tRNA-Ser". It matches the Rfam family "tRNA". From Rfam's summary of the family: Transfer RNA (tRNA) molecules are approximately 80 nucleotides in length. Their secondary structure includes four short double-helical elements and three loops (D, anti-codon, and T loops). The record is from RNAcentral. Lineage: Bacteria; Pseudomonadati; Pseudomonadota; Gammaproteobacteria; Alteromonadales; Pseudoalteromonadaceae.
GGAGGGAUGGCUGAGUGGCUGAAGGCGCACGCCUGGAAAGUGUGUUUAGGUUAAUCCCUAACGAGGGUUCGAAUCCCUCUCCCCCCACCA